CCUACGGGUGGCUGCAGUGGGGAAUAUUGGACAAUGGGCGAAAGCCUGAUCCAGCCAUGCCGCGUGUGUGAAGAAGGCCUUCGGGUUGUAAAGCACUUUCAGUGGGGAAGAAAGCCUUGGGGCUAAUACCCUCGAGGAAGGACAUCACCCACAGAAGAAGCACCGGCUAACUCCGUGCCAGCAGCCGCGGUAAUACGGAGGGUGCGAGCGUUAAUCGGAAUUACUGGGCGUAAAGCGCGCGUAGGCGGUCUGAUAAGCCGGUUGUGAAAGCCCCGGGCUCAACCUGGGAACGGCAUCCGGAACUGUCAGGCUAGAGUGCAGGAGAGGAAGGUAGAAUUCCCGGUGUAGCGGUGAAAUGCGUAGAGAUCGGGAGGAAUACCAGUGGAGAAGGCGGCCUUCUGGACUGACACUGACGCUGAGGUGCGAAAGCGUGGGUAGCAAACAGGAUUAGAUACCCGUGUAGUC
Molecule: ribosomal RNA, 465 nt
Filed under: Vreelandella stevensii
Lineage: Bacteria; Pseudomonadati; Pseudomonadota; Gammaproteobacteria; Oceanospirillales; Halomonadaceae
Description: partial 16S ribosomal RNA
Rfam family: Bacterial small subunit ribosomal RNA
Source: RNAcentral